Molecule: ribosomal RNA, 455 nt
Filed under: uncultured bacterium
Lineage: Bacteria
Description: bacterial SSU rRNA
Rfam family: Bacterial small subunit ribosomal RNA
Source: RNAcentral
UGGCGGACGUGCUUCAUACAUGCAAGUCGAACGAGAAUCUGACUUCGGUCAGAGGAAAGUGGCGGACGGGUGAGUAAUAUGUAGGAAAUCUGCCUUUAGGAGGGGGACAACAGAGGGAAACUUCUGCUAAUACCCCAUAUGAGCUAAGUUGAAAUACUUAUCUUGAAAACUCCGGUGCCUAAAGAUGAGCCUGCAUCUGAUUAGCUUGUUGGUGGUGGUAAAUGGGACUACCAAGGCGACGAUCAGUAGCUGGUUUGAGAGGAUGAUCAGCCACAAUGGGACUGAGACACGGGCCCAUACUCCUACGGGAGGCAGCAGUAGGGAAUUUUGCGCAAUGGGCGAAGGCCUGACGCAGCAAACGCCGCGUGAACGAUUAAGCCCUUCGGGGUGUAAAGUUCUGUCAGUGGGGACGAAACUUGACGGUACCCACAGAGGAAGCACCGGCUAACUCCGUG